This is a non-coding RNA of Monodelphis domestica (gray short-tailed opossum), 5151 nucleotides long. Lineage: Eukaryota; Metazoa; Chordata; Mammalia; Didelphimorphia; Didelphidae. The record is from RefSeq and is a predicted model, not a curated record.
CUCCCUUGGGCCCCGAGGAGCCCCGACUCACCGCACCCCCACCCCCACCGCCACCUCCCGCGUCCGGACUUCCGUCUUCGGUUAAACGGUCGCCCACGCUAGCCGCCCCAAUGGGGAGACCCUUUCCACGGGGCCGGGGAUGUGGGGGAGGGGGCGCGUGACAACCAGCACGUGCCCAUCCCGGGCUCGUUAAAGGUCACGUUCCUGAGCCAUAAACUGAACCCUCAGGACCCCCUUUUUUCCUUCAUCUCCCAGCCUGGGAUGACAGCCCCAGUUCCCACACGGCCACCACGAACUUGCAAUUUGAUGGCUCUAUUUGGAGAAAGAUUUACACAUCGGGCUUUAAUUUGCUCUUCGGGAUUUCAUUUCAUGGAGGAGUUUGCUCCUCCUGAGGCAGAAGUCCCUUUUUGGGGGGGUUGGGGGGAGUCAUGGACCUCUUUGGCAGUCUGAAGCCUUUGGAUCUCUUCUUAGUGUUUUUAAAUGCAGGGGUGGGGGGCGGGGACCAUAGGAAGCUGUAUUAGCAUACAGUUAAAAUUUUUUAAAGUUUUAUGGACUCGAGUAAGACUGCCUGUCCUGUGUCCUGAAGAUCGACUGUUACCUUAACUGUGCAGCCUGGCAGACAUGUAUUUCAAUUCUGUUCAGCCUACGUCAAGUGCUUUCUGUGUAUGAGCAAGAUUGUGGGCCGGCCUGUUGAUUUUUUAUUCCUAAUAAGGCAGCUGACAGUUUUUCACAGUAUUUUAAAGACCCAGAUCAUGUGAAAAGUGAAUGACGUUUUCCCUGUUCCCCAAGAACUCAGGCUAUUGAGAACUGUCACCUAGGAAAAAUGGAAAUACUAAAUAGUAAAGCGUUAAAAGUAAUUUCUAAAAAUUAACCAUUAGCAAUACUAAAUAUCAAAUACUAGAAGACUAAUUACCAUAAUGGCUUUGUUAUUACAAGGUUGGGUAUCCUUAUAAUGCAAAAAAAAACAAACAAACCCAAAACAAUUCAAAAAGCAAACCAAUAAGCCCCUGAAUUGCAAACUCCAUCAGGGUUCUUUUACUUUCUUGAAGCAAACUACAUGCAGUUAUCUACUCAGAAGUUAAUUCAUGGUUUCUCGUAUGCAUUUCACAGUUAACCAGUUCACCCUCAUUUUGAAGUAAAAAUAAAAUAGCUUUGGGGAAGACAAUAUUAUAAUAAUUGGAAUGUUGGCAGUGAAUUGCUGAAAGGCUAGGGAACUUUAUCUGAUUUCAGUCUCUCUUACUUGAGUUACCUUUAGCUUUCUCUGAUCAUCAGUUUCCUCAUUUUUAUAAAUAGGAUAUUCAGCUAAGUAAUCUCCGACAUCCUUUUCUGCACUAACCUAUGACUGAUCUUGUGCCUGGUUGGUAGUUUAUUUGAAAUUUCCUGUAAAUAAUUGAGUUUAUAGUAGUAAGUAAAAUUGUAAGUUGGUGUACUUAGGCAAACAAUGAAGCAUAACUUGUUUCUACUUUGAAAGAAGGGAGACUGCUAUUAUAAAAUGAUAAAAUUGAAUUUAUAAAGCUCUUUACAACUUACAAAGCAUUCUUUACAACAAUCUUUUGAGACUAAUUUAGAAUUAUUAUCCAGUUUUUAUAGAUAAAGAAAAGGAGAGUCAGAGAAAUUGCUGCAGUAACCCCAUAAAUGACAGAUAGACCUGUCCCAGAUCUUUUGACUGAAGUCUUACGUUCUUUCCCUCCUAGCCCUACCAUUAGACUUUUGUAUAGAAAUCUGUAUCAACAAAAUUAUUUUUAAAUGCUCACUUGGCAGAAAAUGUAUUAGGUGACCUAGGGAACCACAAAAGAAACAGAUACAUUCUCUAUGCUCAAGUAGUUUUCUGUAGGUUCCUUUAAAAGAUGUUUUAUAAUUAUGAGGUUAAUAAAUAAAUAAAAUAAAUAAAACAGUUAUGCCAUUAUAAAUAUAAGGCAAAAAUUAAUUCAAAUCUUUCUUUUGUAGAAUUAAAAGUGAGGGGGAAAAAGAAUUUAAGACAUACCCUAAUAUGAUAAUUUUGUAUUAAGUAUGACUUAUUAAAAUAAAGAUACCUCAAAUUUCAUAAUUCAUAGUUUAAAAGAAAAAAAAUUAUUGUAUUUAAGGAUUGUAUUUUCAUCAAUAAGGAUCGCCCUCCACCUUAGACUUUUCCAAACUAUAAACUGUCUUGUAGAGUUGUGGCCCAAAAUUUUAUUGCUCUGUGGCCAAGCUAGAUCAAACUACUUUGAAUUUACCAUAGACUUGUUCUUGGAAUGCAGACAUAGUCUGUUAUCUCUCCUUUCUUGAAGCCUUUCCUGGCAUGGUAGGACCAAAUUUGGACUCCAUUUGUAUAAUGUUCAAGACCCUGGGAUCUCCCAUACCCUUUGAGGUAGCAUUAGAGCAAGACUUUUGUGUUAAUAUUCUUAUUAGUUUAUUGAUAGAGAAUGUUUUAGAAGCCUCCCAGAACUGAUUCAAUAUUGAUUAAUUCAUGUGGUUAUAUAUAUUUCUGGAUUUAGAGUUGGAGAACCAAGGUUUGAUUAAUGGGUGUAAUUGGUUCUUAAUAGCUCUUAUUUUUUACAAUACAAUAAAGCCAAUGGGCAUAAAGGAAAAUAAAUCAACUAUUUGUACUUCUUAUAUUCUAUUUCUCCAUCAACUCCUUUUUUAGCAUCAUUUUCAUUUUCAGUUCACUUUUUAAAAAAAUCAGUGCUAUCUAUGUUUAUCUGGUUUCACUAUAUUUAAUUUUAGAUUGCAAGCUGUGGGACAGAAUAAUUACUCUAUGUGUAUACAGCAUCACACUGUGGGUCCCUAAGAAUGUAUACUGACACCAUCACCAUUGAGUUUUCAGCUUGAUGCAGUUGACUUCAGUUAUCUAGAGAAUUUUUAUCAUUUAAAGUUUCUUAGAUUUUUAUAGAUAAUUUUCAGGCCACUGGUAAUUAGAAGAGCACCUAAAAUAUUCAUAAGAUUCUGUAUAAUAUAAAAGACAUGGUCAUUGACUGUUUUAAUGAUGUCUUCAACUACUCUUUGUGACUAAGAAGAGGUCCCAGGAAAGGAAAAUCUUUGGAGGGGGAUACUUAAAAAAUAUUCCUUUAGUAAAGAAAUAAUGUACUCAUAGUAAAUAAUAAUACUAAAAAUGCGAUGUGGGGUACUUUAGGAUUUGCAUACAUUUUUCUUUUGAUCCUCACACUUACCUAGAAGAUAUUAGGGACCAAAUUCUUAGGUAUUCAGAAGGUUUAUAUUUUGCAUGUGAUAGCCUGAAGGGCAUUCAUUCUAAUGAGUAGGAUUUUCAGAUAAUAAUUAUAGUGUUAGAAAGGACCUUAGAGGGAUUUAUUUCACAAAUGAGGAAACUAAGAUUGACAAACCCUGGUUCUCCAACUGAAUCCAGAGGUCUUUCCAUUGCACCACUACCCCAUCUAAUGAUUUUUUUAAAAAUCCUCAUCUUCUUCAAAUUUAUUCUAAGUAUAGGUUUCCAGGCAAAAGAACAGUAAGGGCUAGGCAUUUGGGGUUCAAUGAUUUGCCUAGGGUCACUCAGCUAGAAAGUAUUUGAAGUCAAAUUUAAACCAAGAAACUCCUAUCUCCAGGCCUGGCUCUCAAUCCAAUGAGCCACCUACCUGCUCCACUCCUAAUGAUUGAUGAAUGAAUAAUUUUUUUGUAAGGUACUUAACAGAUGCCAAGGUUCAAUCUUAGUCAAUUGAUUGGUUGAUUGAAAUAAGAAUAAGAACUUACUAAAGUGUGCCAAAUCCUAGGAAUACAGAGACUCUAUCCUCAAGAAUUUAUAUCCUAAUAAUAGGAAACAGUAUUCAUAGGAAAGUGGGGACCAGAGAUAUUUGGUGUUUGUUUGGUUACUCAGACACUACAAGCUGUGUUAUCUUGACCGAUUACUAAACCUGUUUGCCUUAGUUUCCCCAAUUAUAAAAAAGGGAUUAUAGUAGCACUUAUCUCUCAAGGUUAUGGUGAGGUGAGCAUCAAAUGAGAUAAUAUUUGUAAAGAACAUAGCUCAGUAUCUGGACACAGAAGAUGCUUAAUUAAUGGUUAUUUUCUUCAUUUCCUCAGGGAGACCAACCAGCAAGCCAUUGCUAUACUUCAGGUGUGAGGGAAUGAGGACAUACAACAGGCUGAUGGCAAUGUCAGAAGAGAAAAAGGGACUGACAACACCCUGUGAGUUCAGCAGAGCCGGUUUUAUUUUCCCCAUUUUACUGAUUGGAUAAUCUCAAUCCAGAGAGGGAAAUGAAGACGAAAAGACAGCCCAUGCCCUCAAGAAACUCACAUUCUAAUAGAGGAGACAGCUUGGCAGACAACAAUGGCCAGCUUUUAAAUCAGGAUGCUUUAAGGACAUUCUCGGCACCCCACACAAGUUAAAUAAUAUCAUCAAUACCAACAAAAGAAACUGACUGACAGAUGAACAAAGAAGUCACUAAGCGGCAUCUGUAAAUAAGUAGAAGAGACCUAUCUUCUUCUAAGUCAAAGCUAGAUGAUGCAGAAGUGCUCAGCCUGGAGUCAGGAAGACUCAUUCUCAGUUCAAAUCUGGCCUCAGACACUUCCUAGCUCCGUGAUCCUAGUCAUUUUGCAGAAGAGAUGAAGAAGAAAAAGGAAGGAAGGAAGAAAGGAAGGAAGGAAUGGAGUAUUUUGGUCAGCAUUCAGACUCCAUCAAUUCUUUCUCUGGAAGAGGAUGGCAUUUUUCAUCUUAAGUCUCUGGGAUUGUCUUGGACCACUGUAUUACUGAAAAUAACUAGGUCAUUCAUAGUUAUUUAUCAAAAAAUAUUGCUGUUCCUAUGUACAAUAUUCUUCUGGUUUUGCUCACUUCACUUUGCAUCAGUUUAUGUAAGUCUUUCUACAUUUUUCUGAAAUCAUCCGGCUCAUCAUUUCUUAUAGAACAUUCUAUUACUAUCAUAUGCCACAACUUGUUCAGCCAUUCCUCAAUUGAUGGACAACCCCUCAGUUUUCCAAUUCUUUGUAACCACAAAAAAGAGGUACAAUAAAUAUUUUUUACAAAUAGGUCCUUUUUGGUGAUAUUGCUGGGUUUAAGUAUAUAUGCAUUUUUAGAGCCCUUUGGAAAUAGUUCCAAAUUGUUCUCCAGAAUAUUUGGAUUAGAUUACAACUCCACCAACAGGUGUGUUAGUGUCUCAAUUUUCCCAUAUCCCCUCCAAUAUUUAUCAUUUUCCUUUUCUGUCAUACUGGCUGAUCUGAUAUGUGUGA